This 274-nucleotide ribosomal RNA is filed under the name uncultured bacterium. Its description in RNAcentral is "partial 16S ribosomal RNA". It matches the Rfam family "Bacterial small subunit ribosomal RNA", at positions 523 to 796 of the family's 1533-position model. The record is from RNAcentral.
AUACGGAGGGUCCAAGCGUUAUCCGGAAUCAUUGGGUUUAAAGGGUCCGCAGGCGGUCAAUUAAGUCAGAGGUGAAAGCCCAUCGCUCAACGAUGGAACUGCCUUUGAUACUGGUUGACUUGAGUUAUACGGAAGUAGAUAGAAUAAGUAGUGUAGCGGUGAAAUGCAUAGAUAUUACUUAGAAUACCGAUUGCGAAGGCAGUCUACUACGUAUAUACUGACGCUGAGGGACGAAAGCGUGGGGAGCAAACAGGAUUAGAAACCCCAGUAGUCC